Schistosoma curassoni is the source of this 48-nucleotide non-coding RNA. The record is from Rfam. Lineage: Eukaryota; Metazoa; Platyhelminthes; Trematoda; Strigeidida; Schistosomatidae.
AUCCAGCUGACGAGUCCUACCAAAUAGGAAGAAACAUACGUCCUGGAU